This 500-nucleotide ribosomal RNA is filed under the name uncultured bacterium. Its description in RNAcentral is "bacterial SSU rRNA". It matches the Rfam family "Bacterial small subunit ribosomal RNA", at positions 21 to 518 of the family's 1533-position model. The record is from RNAcentral.
GGCUCAGGACGAACGCUGGCGGCGUGCCUAACACAUGCAAGUCGAGCGAAGUAAGUCUAAAUGAAGUUUCGAUGGAAUUUAGACUUAUCUUAGCGGCGGACGGGUGAGUAACGCGUGAGAAACCUGCCUUUCACAAAGGGAUAGCCUCGGGAAACUGGGAUUAAUACCUUAUGAUACUAAAAAUACCGCAUGGUAAAGUAGUUAAAGCGUAAAGCGGUGAAAGAUGGUCUCGCGUCCCAUUAGCUAGUUGGUGAGGUAACGGCUCACCAAGGCAACGAUGGGUAGCCGGCCUGAGAGGGUGAACGGCCACACUGGAACUGAGACACGGUCCAGACUCCUACGGGAGGCAGCAGUGGGGAAUAUUGCACAAUGGAGGAAACUCUGAAUGCAGCGACGCCGCGUGAACGAUGAAGGCCUUCGGGUCGUAAAGUUCUGUCCUGGGGGACGAUAAUGACGGUACCCCAGGAGGAAGCCCCGGCUAACUACGUGCCAGCAGCAGC